CUAUUGUACUUAAAAUUAAUUAAAUGUUAGCAUGGUCCCAAUUAACAUUCCAUUAACAACAAAAAUGCCUUGAUUGUCAAUACUGAGCAAAAUCUGUGACAAUCCACCACUUACAUUGUGCAGCAUAUGUUAGUUAACACUUGGAGUCCUAACCUUUUUCCAAAUGAAAUGGAUGAUCUGGUCAAAAUGUGAGGCCACAUUUAAAGCCAUUGAAAAUAUUGGGAUUUUUGACUCUGACUUGAGAUAAGCAGGGAAAAUAAAAGUUUGUCCACCCAGAAAGAGUUGCCUAUCUUUUUCUGACUAUGUUUUGCUAGACCAAGAUUUAGUAUCUCUAGAUGAUAAGCACUUUAUAUUUGGGAUCUCUCUAUUUUACUCAGUAUUUUGUAUUAUUUUUGUCUCUUUCAUCUCUAAAGCAUCUCAUUCCCUUCGAUCUUGAAUAUUCCUUUACCUAAAUGGCUAUUUAUUGUAUUAUAAAUUCCAAGCCACAUCUUUCAUUUUUCACUCAAACUUCUGUUUUUUUAGACUCAUCUAAGUAGGUUAUGUGAGUAUAUUUUUUAUGCAAACAUUGUCUAUCCAUGCUCACAUUGAUAAGCAUUCAAAUUAUUUCCAACUCUUUGUUUUUUAUAAGCAAUGUUGGAGAUCUUUGUGUAUCUGGAUUUGGGUAUGUUGGGGCCCAAGGCAGACUACCCCAAAAUGUGCCUCAAGGGCAUAUUAAUUAUUCUGAAUUAAAGUUACUUAAGGAAAAGCCAAUAUAAAAGGAAUACUCUGACACUCCUUCCUGAUUCCCUGGAAGCAGGAAAUAAAUUUCUCAGGUGAGGAGUUCCCAUCGUGGCUCAGCAAUUAACAAAUCUGACUAGCAUCCAUCAGGUCGCAGGUUCCAUCCCUGGCCUCUCUCUGUGGGUUAAGGAUCUGGCAUUGCCGUGAGCUGUGGUGUAGGUUGCAGAUGUGGCUUGGAUCUGGUGUUGCUUUGGAUGUAGCGUAGGUGGACAGCUACAGCUCCGAUUCAACCCCUAGCCUGGGAACCUUCAUAUGCCAUGGGUGCAGCCCUAAAAAGCAAUAAAUAAAUAAAGAGUAAAAUAAGUAAAUAAAUAAACUUCUCAGGUGAAAGAUGCACUUCCUGCAUCUGGAUGUAAAAGGACACCCUUGUUGUCUAAGAUCGGGAAAUCAGGGCUAAAAUACAAACCUUGUAAAUUACUUCUUUCAUUGAUUAUCCCAAGCCCAACUCUGUUUAAAUUCUUCACUAACAGGCCACCCCAAACCUAAGUUUCUUUGUCCUGUGAAUUCCUCACAAACUAAUGGUUUAUUUGUCUAAAAAGUGUAAAAGCUGCCUGCUUGACCACUCUUAGGUCCCAUUUCUAUGAGACCUCCACGCACAUGAAUGAAAAUUUGUUUAGUUUUUUCUUCUUAAUCUGUUUUGGGUCAAAUUUAUUCUCAGGCCAGCCAUAGGAACUCAAGAGAGGUAGAGGGGAAAUAUACCCCCUUCGCAACAGUUACCUAUCUGAGAUAUAUUUCUAGCAAAGCAAUCUUGGGUCAUAGGGUGAGUACAAGCUGCGCUCUAGAAUUGAUCAUAUCUUGCAUUGGAGGAAACGGAGGUCUGGAGAGGUUAAGCAAUUUUUCAAGGUCAAGUUUCUGGCUAGGCUUGAUCUCAGAUUUUCUGAAUCUUAGUGUUCAUUUCACAAUAUGAUGUCAUGUCAGUUUCUCUGGAAUUUUCUAAGCAAAGUUUCUUUAGUAUGAUAGCUUCAUUGCAUUCUAGCUUGGAAUCAUCCUUGUUAGGGUCAUGUUAGGAGCCAACAUUCUAUAUCUAAGUAAUGGCUGACACAGAGACUAUGCAACUGUUAUCAGGCAAUGGGAUUGGGAAUUUAGGUUUAAACUGUCCUUUUCAAAAUAGAUGUGUUUUUGGAGUUCCCUGGUGGCCUAGCUGUUAAAGGAUUGGGUGUCGUCCCUGCUAUGGCUUGGUUCACUGCUGUGGUGUAAGUGUGAUCCCUGGCCUAGAAACUUCUGCAUGCUGUGAGCAUGGCCAAGCAAAAAGGAAAAAAAAAUCUGCUUUGGUUAUUAGGCAAAGACCUAUAAAACCUAUAAGACCUAUAAAACCAGUCAAGUAUUUUAGAAUAGGUGAUAGAGAUAUAAUAAUUAUCAAUCUGAGAUUUCACAGUUCUUCUCCCAAAAGGCGGCAAAACACUGCUUUAGUGAUAAAAGAAAACAUAGAAUCCCACACUUAUCUUUAUAAGUAAGCUUGCCCUGAAGGACGUGUAUGUGUGUCUUUGAGAGAUAUAAGAUGAUAUAAAUCUCCUAAACUUGUAAGUUGUCUUUGGAACUUUCUAUUUCUUUUGGGCAUUUGGAGAUGGUUCAACUGCUAAAAUACCAUCCCUGGAUACAUGAUUCUCCUUCCCUGUGUCUGUCCUCUGCCUCAAUUCACAUGAAUUCCUUAAGGGUUAAUUGAGUAACUGCUGAAUCCAAAAACAAUAUGCAUUCCUGGUCCAGAUAGAGGGAGAUAAGUAGAGUCUGAGACUGAGCCAAGUACUGUGGGUAACCAGAGGAAAAGGCCACUGAAUCAGUGAGUGCGUGGUGAGCAGGGAGGUCCUUUAACAGAUAUGUGGGAGGUGGUCAGGCAUAGGAAAGAAGGAAGGAUCCUAAGUACAGGAGACUCAGGCCCUUCACCUUCCUCCUGUACUCCCACCCCCACAGUAGCCAUGUUCAGAAAUAAUCCAGCAUCCCUGAGGGAAGAGGAACAAAUGUUCUACAUUGCACCAUGCUAAGCAUCCCCCUCCAGUCCUUGUGCCUGUGAAAUGCAUUUCACGCCUCAUCUGUUCCCUAAAUGAGAUGUGAAAGCAGUUUACACCUCGUUUACAUUUGUGCUGUUUUACCAAGCAGCAUAGACACAGCUCCAUCCAAAGUAAAGAAAUGAGGUCAGUCACCCUGUCUCUCCUUGGCUGGAAUCCACCCAACUCUUCAGAUCCUCCCAGGCAACAAGGCAUCUACCAAGUGUUGGGAGAGCCAGUGGGAGAAAGGUUAUAGGGAGUAACGGGUAUUCAGAUGCUUUUAGGUGAGGGAAAUGGCUUUUCUUGCCAGCCAGUAGUACUAUAUUAAGUAUAAUUUUCUUAAGUAGAAUGCAGAAAUUACAAAUGUACACUUAGAAGAGCUUUCACAUAUACCUGUGUAACCAACACCUAGAUCAAGAUAUACAACACUUCUCUCACUCCUGGAAAUUCUCUCAUGUUCCUUCGCAUCCAAUGACCCACCACCAUGGGUGUAUUGUACCUAUUCUACAGCUUAAUAUACGUGAAAGCAUAUUGUGUGUAUUGACUUCUUUUGCUCAGAUAAUAUCUAUGACGUUAAUGCAUGUUGCUGUGUAUAUCAGUAGCUCAUUCCUUUCAGUUGUUGAAUAGUAUUCCUUAUUUGAAUAAAAUAGUUUAGUCAUUUUCCUGUGGAUGGACAUUAGGUGGUAUUCCUUUUUUGUCUAUUAUAAAUAAGACUGCUAUGAAUAUCCUUGCACAAAGUUUUAGGGACAUAUAUACUCAUUUCUCUUGGGAGUACAGCUAGGACUUUCUGGGUUGUAGUGUAGAUGAAGUUUAACUUUGUUCAAAACUGCCAAAUAGUUCUCUGAGAUGAUUGAACCAUUUUACACUCCCACUGGUGGUGUUUGGAAAUUCUGGUUUGCUUUUGUUGAUUCAAGAUAAUGAAAUAGUGUUGGCAGUCACUGUAAAGUAGCUUAAAUUCAUUUAAG
Molecule: long non-coding RNA, 3724 nt
Filed under: Sus scrofa (pig)
Lineage: Eukaryota; Metazoa; Chordata; Mammalia; Artiodactyla; Suidae
Description: lncRNA (ENSSSCG00000062955.1)
Source: RNAcentral